UACAGAGGGGGCAAGCGUUGUUCGGAAUUACUGGGCGUAAAGGGCGCGUAGGCGGCCGCCUAAGUCAGACGUGAAAUCCCUCGGCUCAACCGGGGAACUGCGUCUGAUACUGGGUGGCUUGAAUUCGGGAGAGGGAUGCGGAAUUCCAGGUGUAGCGGUGAAAUGCGUAGAUAUCUGGAGGAACACCGGUGGCGAAGGCGGCAUCCUGGACCAAUACUGACGCUCAUGUGCGAAAGCGUGGGGAGCAAACAGG
RNAcentral lists this ribosomal RNA (253 nucleotides) under uncultured bacterium. RNAcentral's name for it is "partial 16S ribosomal RNA". It matches the Rfam family "Bacterial small subunit ribosomal RNA", at positions 524 to 776 of the family's 1533-position model. The record is from RNAcentral.